GGGGCUGCGCGUGCGCGGGCGCGGGCGCGGGCGCGGGCGGGGGGGUGGGCUUCUCUGCUGCAUCUGAAGACCACUGAUCUCACCGUUUUGAAGCGCUUUUCUUCCGCUCAUCCGCAGCUGGGCUGCAGCAGCGGGGUUGGGUGUGUCAGGGUCUUCUACCAAUGUCGCUCUUUGACCAAAGCCAACCAGAAGCCAGAGGGCAGGAGACCCAAGUGAAGCAAUCCGUGCAGGUCUACCUCCCUGAGCACAGGAGGUGAGGAGCUGUCCACGCCAGCGUCUUCCCCCAGGUAGCCCGUUGGCCAACUCGUCUUCUCCUGCGGUAACAAUCCAAGUGACAACAAGUCCCGUAGCCCUUGGAAAUGUCUGGAGACCCGCUCCCUUCUCUCUGCCCGGGAGGUGAUUUACGGAAUCCCCUGGCCCUCAGAAUGUCCGAAUCCCUUCACCCCCACCCUGCCCCACACCCUCACCCCGGAGGUGGUUUACCGGCAUAAAAAGGUCUUGUAGGGCCGGGCGCGGUGGCUCACGCCUGUAAUCCCAGCACUUUGGGAGGCCGAGACGGGUGGAUCACAAGGUCAAGAGAUUGAGACCAUCCAGGUCAACAUGGUGAAACCCCGUCUCUACUAAAAAUACAAAAAAAUUAGCUGGGCAUGGUGGCGCAUGCCUGUAAUCCCAGCUACUCGGGAGGCUGAGGCAGGAGAAUUGCCUGAGCCCAGGAGGCGGAGGUUGCGGUGAGCCGAGAUUGCGCCAUUGCACUCCAGCCUGGGUAACAAGAGCCGAAACUCCGUCUCAAAAAAAAAAAAAAAAAAAAGGUCUUGUAACCCUCCUUUCGGGGCCACGGGUUGGAGAGACGUGAGUCCUCUGUGGUCACCGGCAAUAAAGACCCUGCAAUUUGGCAUAUUUUUGUCUUGGUGUUAAUUUUAUACUUGAUACAAAUACUUUGAUGUAUUUAUUUUUUGAGACAGGGUCUUCUUGUUCUUGCCUGGGCCAGAGUGCUGUGAUUCGAUCUCUGCUCACUACGACCUCUGCCUCCCGAGCUCAAGCCAUCCUCCCACCUCAGCCUCUCAAGUAGCUGGGACCCACCAUGCCUGGCCAAUUUAUGCAUUUUUAGUACAGACAGGGUUUUACCAUGUUGCCCAGGCUGGUCUAGAACUCCUAAGCUCAAGCCGUCCUCCCCUCGGCCUCCCAAAGUGCUGGGAUUAUAGUUGUGAGCCACUGAAUCCCGCCUCAAUUUUUAAUUAUAAAAUAUUUCACAUAUGCAAAUACUAAAAAUAAGGUAAUAUAAUACCUAUUAAUAUAUUAAUGUACACAUUAUACAAAGUAAAUGUAAUAUCACUAUAGAAAAUUUUUCCUCUUAAUUUUUUUUUAAUUGAGGGUACUAGUCUGCUACCUCUUAAAUUUUUUUUUUUUUUUUUAAAGACGGGGUUUCACCAUGUUGGUCAGGCUGGUCUUGAACUCCCGACCUCAGGUGAUCUGCCUGCCUUGGCCUCCAGAGUGCUUGGAUUACAGGUGUGAGCCACCACACCAGCCUAAAAUUUUUUAAAGAAAGCUCACUCUUCUCCCAUUCUUUUCCAAUCCCUUCUUCCUUAGAGAUAAUCUUUAUCUUAAAAAUAGAUGAAUUUCAUUCUCAUGCAGAUAUAGCUUUAUACAUUCAAUUGUUUUGCAUGUUUUUAAUUUUCACAUGUAGAAUACACUGUAUGUGCAUUUUAUAAAUUGCCUUUUUCACUCUAUGUUUUCACGACUGAGCCAUAUGGAUAUAUAGGUCAAUCAUAAAUCAUUCAUUUUAAUUGCUAUCUGGAAUUCUGUAUGAAUAAACCGCAGCUUAUUUAAUCUACUUUCCUCCUAUAGGAAUAAUUAGGUUGUUCUAUUAGACAAUUCUGUUAGACUUAUCACUAGGUAUUCUGUACAUUUUGCACCUAGGCUAAAUGGCAUCUUUGCAAAUAUCACAUACUUGUUGAUUGUUGGUGCAACCAACAUGCUAUUGAUGUUUGUAUAUUGAUCUUAUAUCUGUUGAUUUUGCUCAACUGUUUUAUUCAUUCCAAAAGCUUAUCUCUAAGUAGAUUUUCUUAUGGGGGAAUGGUGAUCAACUUACUGAGCUCACCAUUUUCUUAAUAUUUUUUACUAAAACAAGAUAGAGAAAUUCGGAUGCAUUCUAGAAUUCUCGGAGAAGGGACGACUUGAAAGCUAGAGUAACAGAGAGGCUGGUGGGACUACUGCUUUUGAAAGAAGCAGCCACAGCUGGGGGACUGCUCACUGAAAGCUUCAUGUACAGAGAACAUAAGGGCUUUUGAAAUGGAGUAACAUGAAGAACUAGCUGGGGGCCCCAUGAGAUGGCAGAUGGCAGCAUAUUCUGUAAUGUGACCCCCUCCUCUGUCUUCAUGGUUUUAGUAAAAAUGGAAAAUGGUCAUAUGCUUGGUCUCAAUGAGCUUUUUUCAGAAACUAUAAGGAGAUGUAGCUCUGUAUAUAACGUACAUGAUGCAAGGAUCACAGAACUGCAGUCGCCUUGUAACCACCAGGGCCAGGAUCCAAACAAGCCUAAGAAAGUGGAUUCCAAGAUCCUGAAUAGGGACUGAUCUGCUCAGGCUUGGGAAGUGGGAUUCAAACCAAGUUUCCUAAAUUUUAAGGGCAGGAAAUCUCCCAAAUGAUAUUUGGGUUUUCAUCAACAGCCAUCUGAUUUGUAUGCUUCCUUUUUUUUUUCCAGACAGAGUCUUGCUCUGUCGCCCAGGCUGGAGUGCAGUGGCAUGAUCUCAGCUCACUGCAAACUCCGCCUCUAUUCUCCUGCCUUAGCCCCCUGAGUAGCUGGGACUACAGGCAUAUGCCGCCACACCCUGCUAAUUUUUGUAUUAUUAGUAGAGAUGGGGUUUUCCGUAUUGACUGGGCUGGUCUUGGACUCCUGACCUCAUGAUCCACCCUCCUUGGCCUCGCAAAGUGCUGGGAUUACAGGCGUGAGCCACCAUGCCUGGCCUGAUUUAUAUGCUUCCUAUGUGGAUUAUACAAUGUAAAAGGACAAGGUUCCAUUUUGUUUUGUUUUUGGAGACAGUCUCGCUGGAGACUCUGCUGUAAUUCUAGCACUUUGGGAAGCCUAGGCAGGUAGAUAACUUGAGGCCAGGAGUUCAAGACCAGCCUGGCCAACGUGGUGAAACCCCGUCUCUACUAAAAAUAUAAAAAUUAGCCUGGCAUGGUGGUGCACACUCAUAAUUCCAGCUACUCAGGAGGCUGAGGCACAAGAAUCGCAUGAACCUGGGAGGCAGAAGUUGCGGUGAGCCAAGAUUGCACCACUGCACUCCAGCCUGGGUGAUAGAGUGAGACUCUGUCAAAAAAAAAAAAAAAGAGGUGGCAGAUACAAAUGUUUUCUCCUUUGAAGUUUUGCAUAGAACAGUUUCUACGUGCCUAGUCCUGGCAUUUGGGAAAUUAGAGAAGUUCUUUAUCAUGUUAGAGAAGCUCUUCAUGCAGCUUCCAUAGCACUUGCUGCAAUAGUGCUGCAUAACAAGGCAUCCCAAAACUUGGUGGCAUACAACACUAAGCAUAUCUUUAUUGCUGUGCAUCUGCAGGUCAGCUGGAAUGGUCUCCAGACUAAGGAUCUGUGCCAUGAGAUUUGUUCUGUGGUCCAAGCUGAGGGCCAAUGACUGCCUGGGGCAUGUUUUUCUCCUAGUGGAGGUCAGAAGCUCCCAGAGGCCUGGGUGCAGAACUGACACACUGUCAACUCCAUCCACCUAUCAUUGGCCACGGUAGGCCACGUGGCCAAGCCCAACAUUCAUGGGAGAAGGAAGUACUAUUUCCCCACGUAAGUCAAGUAGGAAAGAGAAGGAAUAUACUAAACAAAAAGCUCACUUUUAUGCUUUCUGUCUAUGACUUUAUAAUUUUGAUCAUGUUUCCUUUACUUGUUUAGAAGGAAAAAUUCUAAUCCCUUUCUUCUCCCCAUUUCUGCUUGGCUUUUGUCUCUGGUCUCCUCACGUGUUAAUGUGAACCCUUUCGUUGGCCUUCUUGCUUAUAUGUCCAUAUUAAACUGCUCCGCUUCAGGGAAAAGUUGGAAAUGGAUUCUGAUAUCCUUUUCUGGGACCAAGAUGAAUAAAUGAAGUGAAAGGAAACCAAUAUUUUUGGAGUUAGUUACAUGCCAAGCAUCAGGCCAGGUAUUCUUUAUACCAUGUUAGGCAUUCUUCAUGCACAGUCUCUUUCCAUCCUGAUAAACUCAAAUGCCUCUAGGAACUAGGUAGGCAAAUGAAUGAGUGAAUGGGAUAUGAUUUUCUCGCUUCAUACAUCACUGCAUUUCACCGCAGUACCACUUAUUCCCAAUCGAAAGGAACUCUUGUUGAAAUGUAAGCCCCGUUUUUCAGUUAAUGAUUUUUUCAGCAGGCAUCUUUUCUCUAUCACAGCUCUUCAUAUGGACCACUUCAGAAUAGCAUGUUACAUUGUCUUUUUUGAUAUAGACUUAUUUUGCUAGUUAAACAUUUAGAAAUAUUCUUUUCCAAGAAGAAAAAAAAAAAGGAAAUAUUCUUUUCCAGAUGGUGCGAUGGCUCACACCCGUAAUCUCAGCACUUUGGGAGGCUGAGACAGGUGGAUUGUCUGAGGUCAGGAGUUCAAGACCAGCCUGGCCAACAUAGUGAAACCCCAUCUCUACUAAAAAUACAAAAAAUUAGCUGGGCGUGGUGGUGGGCACCUGUAAUCCCAGCUACCCAGAAGGCUGAGGCAGGAGAAUCCUUUGAACCCAGGAGGCAGAGGUUGUAGUGAGCCAAGAUUGUGCUGUUGCACUCCAGCCUGGGCAACAAGAGCGAAACUCUGUCUGGGGGGAAAAAAAAGGAAAUAUUCUUUUCCAUAAAGAACACUGCUUUCACAUAAUUUUCUUUAGGUACAUAUUCCUCAUUUUUUAUAUUUCAAUUUCCCACUUUUGUUAGAAAUAUGUAUAAAGAGAUAGUUCACUUUCCUCUUGAUUAUAAGAAAACAGCUACACAGUAGUGAUGACCAAUGGCACCUGACACUCAGCUGUAUUGUCGGGGGUUUAUCCUGGGAAUGGUGGGCACCAUGGUGAAGUAGAGAAUGCAUAUCCAACCUACGUGGGGAAGCAUCACUCAGCUCCAGGCAGUUAUGGCCAGUUAGGAAUUCAAGCCCAGCAUUGCUAGAUCUUCUCUUUCUCAAGACAAGUCAGGAAUCCAGGGUUUUUUUUCACCUAAAAUUUCCUAAUUUUUAAGUAUCACCAACAUUUAAAUGUCGGGACAGACUAGGCUCUGUUGUGUAACGUAUCAUUGGUUCUGCACGUGAUGCCAAACAUGAUGCAGGUCAGUAACACUGUUUCAAUGGGCAACUCAGGAAACCAGAAUUCCUUUAUUAUGUGAUGCUGCAGUCUCAACACGUGGUUUCCAAGGUCAUCACCACAGAGGAAGAAAGGGGGAAAAUGCACACCAGCACUUAAGUGCUUUGGCCUAGAAAUGACACACAUCAUUUAAACUCACAGUCUAUUGAUCAGGUGGAGUUGCUUGAUUCCAAAGAAUGCAGGGAAAUGAACAGGAGCAGUUGGACAUUUGAUGACCACUAACUGCUUCUACCAUAGCAAUUAAUUCAAAGCAAACAAACAAACAGACAAACCAGCAAAAUCUCUGAGCAUAUCAAACAAAAUACAAGUAGUCUAGACCCAAUCCAGGUGCUGUUACUAGAGUAAUUAUUUUAUAAUUGAAAAAAAAUUGAAGCUCGACAAGAUUAAGUACCUUGCCCAAGCUACACAGUUAAUGAGUGGCACAGUAAGACCAUAUUCUUUUUCCACAUCAUGCUAAUAAUGGGUACUUUUUUUUUUUUUGAGAUGGAGUUUCUCUCUUGUUGCCCAGGCUGGAGUGCAAUUGUGGGAUCUUGGCUCAGUGUAAGCUCCACCUUCCGGGUUCAAGAGAUUCUCCUGCCUUAGCCUCCCAGGCAGCUGGGAUGACAGGCAUGUGCCACUGUGCCUGGCUAAUUUUGUAUUUUUAGUAGAAACGGGGUUUCUCCAUGUUGGUCAGGCUGGUCUUGGACUCCUGACCUCAGGCGAUCCACCCACCUCAGCCUUACAAAGUCUUGGGAUUAUAGGCGUGAGCCACAGAGCCUGGCCUAAUAAUGGGUACUUUUUAACUAACUAAAUGAUACAGAUGGACACCCAUGCUCCUAAGCACCCCCUUAGAACUAUUUCAUGGCUGUUAUUAAGUAAAAUCUCACAAUUAAACACAAACUCUAUUAACUAAUAUUUGGUCUAUAGACUUUGGUGUAGUCCAGUGGUUCUUCAACUUGAAUGAGCAUCAGAAACAACUGGAGAGUUCGUUCCCCUGGUGGAGGUCAGAAUAACUGGAGGGUUUGUUCCAACACAGAUCGUGGAGUCCCUCCCGCCCCCAGAGUUUCUAAGUCAUUAGGUCUGGGGUGAGUGGGUGGGUAAGAUUUUGCAUUUCUAAUGAAUUCAUAUGUGAUGCUGAUGCUGCUGGUCUGGGUGGGCACCCUCUCAGAGCCACUGGACUAGUGUUAGGUCCGGAAUCCUAGACUUAGCGCAGACAACAAACUGGUGUGAAUGGGCCAUUUAACCUCUGAGUUUCCAUUGCCUCAUCAGUACAAUAAGCGUUUUGGACCAGUUCUACUGUUAUAUGAGUCUAUGAUUAAAAACUGUCUUCAAACAAAUAUUAAAAUACCUUGGCAAGGGACAUAUAUUAGCUGGGGAGGGGCAUGAGGAGGAGGCUUCUGCGAUGGAAAUGUUCUAGUUCUUGGUCUGGAUGGUUGUUGUAUAUGUGUACCUAGGUCAAAAUGUAUCAAGCUGUGCAUUUAAGAUUAAUGUACGUUAUAUAAUUUAAUAUAUGUAUGUGAACUUCAAUUAAAAGAUUAAAAAAUGCUUCUUGCCAAAAAUUGAAUUUAAAUGUUUGUAUAUUCUAAUUUUUAUUUUUAGUGUGACACAGCUAAUAUAAUUUUUUUAUUGCUUGCAUAAAUAAUAUCCACCAAUGUCACUCUAAGUAAUGGGAAAAAUAAGGCUUUAGCAUCCAUACAUUUGUACAGCUAGCGGAGUGUAAAACUGCAGCCAGUAUGAACUUAGCUCUUUAUUCUGCUCACCUGGAGAGACCAAGGCAGUAAGGAAUCUGGAAGCAUUGCAGAGGUGGAAAUGGGAGAGCAUAUUCUUCUGUGUUUCAUAAAUUCAACCUGGAUGUCACAAAAACAGUUGGUUCCCAAGUGAGCUGGGUGAAUAUUGUUGCAACUUCAUUAAGAUACAACGAAUUUUGCCUGUUCCCAAAUAAGGGAGAGAAGAAUCACGUGUGCAUUUGCAUUGACUCAAUUGAAUGCAUUGGUCCAAAAAAUAAAACACAAAAAAAGAACCAGAAGAAUAUUAAAUAGUACAGUCUUAUAUUCUGGACCAAAAGCAUAUGUCCUGGAACGAGAGAGAUGUGGGAGAUGUGAAUCUGCAGAUCCCUAAGUCAAUCUCAGUCCUGGACUUUCAGUAAAGUGCUGGAGCUAAAGAGUACAUCUCUUCCCAAUUCUGUGUUCACUUACAUUAUGUUGGGAGCUUCAAUCUGGCCAUUGGGGAAAUUUACACCAUGGAUAUCAGCAAAUGCUACAAAUCAGGAUGCUUUAUUUCAGGGAGGCAGCCUACCAGCACAUUACUGCUCACCUACUUCUUGUGGUGGAGACAUGUUGAUCAUAUUGAAUAUGCUGUUAGCAUAUAAAGGUAUGGAUUUUUUUCAUACAACAUGAAGUCUAACUGUAACUAUAACAGGCAUUUCUGCUGCAGCUACCAAAUUAUAAUCACAAGGUAGCUGAAUGAGCAGAGAGUUAGAUAUGUGAUUUAUUUUUUUAUUUUUUUUGAGACGGAGUUUCACUCUUGUUACCCAGGCUGGAGUGCAAUGGCACGAUCUCGGCUCACCACAACCUCCGCCUCCUGGGUUCAGGCAAUUCUCCUGCCUCAGCCUCCUGAGUAGCUGGGAUUACAGGCACACACCACCGUGCCCAGCUAAUUUUUUGUAUUUUUAGUAGAGACGGGGUUUCACCAUGUUGACCAGGAUGGUCUCGAUCUGUUGACCUCGUGAUCCACCCGCCUCGGCCUCCCAAAGUUGUUAGGCUGAGCUUCUCAAACUUCAGACACAGUUUGGCUCAAACAGUUAAGGCUGACCUUCUCAAACUUCAGUGUGCACAUGAAUCACCAGGGAUCGUGUAAAAAUGCAGAUAAUGGUUCAGAAUAUCAGAGGUCAGGACUGAGAUUCUGCAUUUCUAACAAGUUCUCAGAUGAUAAUGCUGGUCUGUGGAUCACAUUUUGAGUGGAAGGACCUACGAUGUCAUACCUAACAUUAUUGGUAUUUUCUGUAACAAUCAGAGGAAAACAGCUAAUGCAGCCAGAGUACCGCAUUGGGAUCCAUGGGCUAGGGGUGCUUUGGGUGCCUGGAUUUGGAGUAAGUGGACACUAGCUAAAGUUCAACGCUACAAUUUGCUCUAACUGAACCUCAAGCCCCUGAGCUUGAGAAUGAGAAUCAAGCUAAAGGGGAAACCCCUUAUAAAGCCAUCAGAUCUCAUGAGAUUUAUUACCAUGAGAACAGUAUGGGGGAACCACCCCAACGAUUCAAUUAUCUCCCGCCAGGUCCCUCCCACAACAUGUGGGAAUUAUGGAGCUACAAUUUAAGAUGAGAUUUGGAUGGGUACACAGCAAAACCAUAUCAUGUUGUAAUGAUAUGAGUCCUAGGUUGAUUGCAUGUAUACAAAUGGCUUCAUUUGUAAACAGCAGAUGCUCUGGACUUGCAGUCUAGAACAGCACUUCUCAGACUUAAAUGUACAAACAAAUCACCAAGGGAUCUUGCGAAACAUGCAGAUUUUGAUUCCGUAGAUUCUUGGAAGAAGCAAUACGCCAUGGACCUUCAAUGCCCCUAUGUGUUCUUACUCUGUAUAACAAGAAUGCAAGGCUCUGACUGCUUAUAACCAGGACCAAUUCUUAAGGUUGUUUUUGCAGAGAACAACAUCAUGGAAAGAAGUAAUUUCCCUCCCCAGCACUCUCCACCCUAAACAAAAAACAAAGAGCAGGCUUGCUUACUGCUCACUAUAAAAACAGUGAAUUCCCUAAUCUCAGUGUGUCUCAGCUGUCACCUGGGCCUCUCUACAUCUCCCCUAUGAGACUUGGGGGCUAUGGGAAACUGAUGAAAAACAACAUUAUACUCACGACACCAGCUGUGAUGUGAGUAAUAAAAUCCUUUAUCUCUGACCCAGGACUUGUGUGCUCUGUCAGCAUCCAUGAGACAGUAACAGGCUAACUUAUUCGCCUGCAAGUGGGAUAAAAUAUCAGAUCCUUCAUAGACACUGACAUAGUUCUUGGGGUGGUACCUGAUAUACCACCUUUCUAACCACCAGGUUCUUCUGGUACUACUCAUCCACGGACCACAUUUUGAGUAGUAAUAGUUUUGAAAUAUUAAGCCCUGGAUUUACCACUAACGAUAUGGCCUUGGGCAAGCUCCUUCACAUUUCUGAGACUGUUUCCGUAUCUACAAACAGAUGAGUUUGAAGGUCUCUUCCAAAAUUAACUCUAUGAUUCCAGGUCACUAUUACCAUCAACAGGUCGUGCCUCUUCCCAUUCUUUCAUUCCUUCAACCAACACUUUAUAUACCCAUCAUUUGCAAGACGCCAGGAAUAGGUUGAGUGACAGCUGGAUGUGCGCAGAGUUGGGCAAACGAUGAGCAGUGAAAGCUGCCCCAUAGGGAGACAUACAGACAGUGCUAAGCAAGUCAAUUGCCUCCUUCAACUGGUUUAUGAUUUAUUCCAAACCAAGGCACUUUUGCCAGUGAAAGAGGAGGUUAUUAAUAGCUACACCAGGAUGACAGGGAUAAACUGGGACAAUGCUGGAGGCCCUAUUGUUAGGGCCCCGCAAAGCCCUAGU
Long non-coding RNA from Callithrix jacchus (white-tufted-ear marmoset), 9841 nucleotides. RefSeq lists it as uncharacterized. NCBI's taxonomy places the organism in Eukaryota, Metazoa, Chordata, Mammalia, Primates, Cebidae. The record is from RefSeq and is a predicted model, not a curated record.